RNAcentral lists this ribosomal RNA (626 nucleotides) under uncultured archaeon. RNAcentral describes it as "bacterial SSU rRNA". It matches the Rfam family "Archaeal small subunit ribosomal RNA", at positions 249 to 875 of the family's 1478-position model. The record is from RNAcentral.
UUACCAAGCCUUUGAUCGGUACGGGUUGUGAGAGCAAGAGCCCGGAGAUGGAACCUGAGACAAGGUUCCAGGCCCUACGGGGUGCAGCAGGCGCGAAACCUCCGCAAUGUGAGAAAUCGCGACGGGGGGAUCCCAAGUGCCAUUCUUAACGGGAUGGCUUUUCUUUAGUGUAAAAAGCUUUUGGAAUAAGAGCUGGGCAAGACCGGUGCCAGCCGCCGCGGUAACACCGGCAGCUCUAGUGGUAGCAAUUUUUAUUGGGCCUAAAGCGUCCGUAGCCGGUUUAAUAAGUCUCUGGUGAAAUCCUGUAGCUUAACUGUGGGAAUUGCUGGAGAUACUGUUAGACUUGAGACCGGGAGAGGUUAGAGGUACUCCCAGGGUAGAGGUGAAAUUCUGUAAUCCUGGGAGGACCGCCUGUUGCGAAGGCGUCUAACUGGAACGGUUCUGACGGUGAGGGACGAAAGUUAGGGGCGCGAACCGGAUUAGAUACCCGGGUAGUCCUAACUGUAAACGAUGCGGACUUGGUGUUGGGGUGGCUUUGAGCUGUUCCAGUGCCGAAGGGAAGCUGUUAAGUCCGCCGCCUGGGAAGUACGGUCGCAAGACUGAAACUUAAAGGAAUUGGCGGGGGA